AACAAUUGACCUCAAAUCAGGCAAGAAUACCCGCUGAAAGCGGAGGAAAAGAAACUAACAAGGAUUCCCCUAGUAACGGCUAGUGAAGAGGGAAGAGCUCAAAUUUUAAAUCAGCCUUGUUUACAAGGUUGAAUUGUAGUUUGAAGAAGCGUUUUCUUGGUCGGGCGUAUGACCGGUAACAAGUUCCUUGGAAUAGGACAUCAUAGAGGGUGAUAAUCCCGUCCGUGCCGGCAUGUGUUCAUCUACGAUACGCUCUCAAAGAGUCGAGUUGUUUGAUAUUGCAACUCUAAAUGGGUGGUGUAAUUAUCACCUAAGGUUAAAUAUUGGCGAGAGACCGAUAGCGAACAAGUACCGUGAGGGAAAGAUGAAAAGAACUUUGAAAAGAGAGUUAAAAAGUACGUGAAAUUGUUGAAAGGGAAACGUUUGAAGUUAGUGGAACUGGCACAAAUUCAGCCUACGCAUCAAGGCAAUUAGCGCACUUUGCGAGCCUAAUGUGGGGUGCACUUUUGUAUCAGCUGGUUAACAUCAAUUUUGACCGUCAUGAAAAGGCUAAAUGGGAUGUGGCGAUGUGGCGAUGUGUCUCCUUCGUGAGUGCUACAACCGUUACAACCUUUAGCGGAAUGAUGUGGUGGUCGGGAUUGAGGAUUGCAACGAAUACCUUUAGGGCUGUGCUAGCUCGUCUGGCCACUCCUCUUUGGAUGUGUUCCGCCAAUUAGGAUGGGUAGUCGGAUUGGUGCAAAUUCGUUAAGGAUGUUAACGAAAUGGCUUUAAACGACC
This 777-nucleotide ribosomal RNA is filed under the name Entrophospora etunicata. Its description in RNAcentral is "eukaryotic LSU rRNA". It matches the Rfam family "Eukaryotic large subunit ribosomal RNA", at positions 1 to 649 of the family's 3401-position model. The record is from RNAcentral. Lineage: Eukaryota; Fungi; Glomeromycota; Glomeromycetes; Entrophosporales; Entrophosporaceae.